This 809-nucleotide ribosomal RNA is filed under the name uncultured bacterium. RNAcentral describes it as "bacterial SSU rRNA". It matches the Rfam family "Bacterial small subunit ribosomal RNA", at positions 79 to 896 of the family's 1533-position model. The record is from RNAcentral.
GCAAGGGGUACACGAGCGGCGUAAGGGACAGUAAUGUGUAGGUACGUACCUCCGGGCCUGGGAUAGCUGCGGGAAACUGCAAUUAAUACCAGAUAACGUCUCCGGACCAAAGGUGUGAUUCCGCCGGGAGAGCGGCCUACAUCCUAUUAGCUAGUUGGCGGGGUAACGGCCCACCAAGGCUCAGAUGGGUAGCAGGUGUGAGAGCACGACCUGCGUCACUGGGACUGAGACACUGCCCAGACACCUACGGGUGGCUGCAGUCGAGAAUCUUCGGCAAUGAGCGCAAGCUUGACCGAGCGACGCCGCGUGCGGGAUGAAGGCCUUCGGGUUGUAAACCGCUGUCAGAGGGGACGAAGUGCUAGUGGGUACUCUCAUUAGCUUGACUGAUCCUCAAAGGAAGGGUGGGCUAAGUUCGUGCCAGCAGCCGCGGUAAGACGUACCACCCGAACGUUAUUCGGAUUUACUGGGCUUAAAGAGUCCGUAGGCGGCCAAGUAAGUUGGAUGUGAAAUACCUCGGCCUAACCGAGGAACAGCAUUCAAAACUACUUGGCUCGAGAGAGACAGAGGUGAGCGGAACUGAUGGUGGAGCGGUGAAAUGCGUUGAUAUCAUCAGGAACACCGGUGGCGAAAGCGGCUCACUGGGUCUCUUCUGACGCUCAGGGACGAAAGCUAGGGGGAGCGAACGGGAUUAGAUACCCCGGUAGUCCUAGCCUUAAACGAUGAGCACUAGAUCGUAGGGGACCUCCACAUCCUUUCGGUCGUAGGGAAACUGUUAAGUGCUCCGCCUGGGGAGUAUGGUCGCAAGGCUG